GAUGAACGCUGGCGGCGUGCCUAAUACAUGCAAGUCGAGCGAACAGACGAGGAUCUUGCUCCUCUGACGUUAGCGGCGGACGGGUGAGUAACACGUGUAUAACCUACCUAUAAUACUGGGAUAACUUCGGGAAACCGGCGCUAAUACCGGAUAAUAUCUUGAACCGCAUUGUUCAAUAGUGAAAUACGGUUUUUCUGUCUCUUAUAGAUGGAUCCGCGCCGCAUUAGCUAGUUGUUAAGGUAACAGCUUACCACGGCAACGAUGCGUAGACGACCGGAGAGGGUGAUCGGCGACACUGGAACUGAGACACGGUCCAGACUCCUACGAGACGCAGCAGUAGGGAACGUUACGCAAUGGGCGAAAGCCUGACGGAGCAAGGCCGCGUCAGAGAUGAAGGUCCUCGGAUCGUAAAACUCUGUUAUGAGGGAAGAACAAAUGUGUAAGGAAAUAUGCACGUAUUGACGGUACCUAAUCAGAAAGCAACGGCUAACUACGUG
This 497-nucleotide ribosomal RNA is filed under the name uncultured bacterium. RNAcentral's name for it is "partial 16S ribosomal RNA". It matches the Rfam family "Bacterial small subunit ribosomal RNA", at positions 28 to 507 of the family's 1533-position model. The record is from RNAcentral.